UACGUAGGUGGCAAGCGUUGUCCGGAUUUACUGGGCGUAAAGAGCGCGCAGGCGGUCGAUCAAGUCGCGUGUGAAAGCCCCCGGCUCAACUGGGGAGGGUCACGCGAUACUGAUCGACUCGAAGGCAGGAGAGGGUAGUGGAAUUCCCGGUGUAGUGGUGAAAUGCGCAGAUAUCAGGAGGAACACCAAUGGCGAAGGCAGCUCGCUGGGACGGUAUUGACGCUGAGACGCGAAAGCGUGGGGAGCAAACAGG
Molecule: ribosomal RNA, 253 nt
Filed under: uncultured bacterium
Lineage: Bacteria
Description: partial 16S ribosomal RNA
Rfam family: Bacterial small subunit ribosomal RNA
Source: RNAcentral